GAUGAACGCUGGCGGCGUGCCUAAUACAUGCAAGUCGAGCGAACGGACUAGAAGCUUUCUUCUCUGAUGUUAGCGACUGACGUGGUAGUAACACGUGGAUAACCGACCGAUAAAACUGGGAUAAAUUCGGGAAACCGGAGCGGAUACCGGGUAAUAUUUUGUACCGCAUGGGUCAAAAGUGUAAUACGGUCUUGCUGUCACUUAGAGAUGUAUCAGAGCUUCAUUAGCUAUUUGGUAAGGUAACGGCUUACCAAGGCAACGAUGCAUAGCCGAUCUGAGAGGGUGAUCGGCGACACUGGCACUGAGGCACGGUCCAGAAUACUACGGGAGGCAGAAGUAGGAAAUCUCCCGCAAUGGGAGAAAGCCGGAAGGAGCAACGACGCGUGAGUGAUGAAGGUCUUCGGGUCGUAAAACUCUGUUAUUAGGGAAGAACAUAUGUGUAAGUAAAUGUGAACAUCUUGACGGUACCUAACCAGAAAGCCACGGCUAACUACGUG
This 497-nucleotide ribosomal RNA is filed under the name uncultured bacterium. RNAcentral describes it as "partial 16S ribosomal RNA". It matches the Rfam family "Bacterial small subunit ribosomal RNA", at positions 28 to 507 of the family's 1533-position model. The record is from RNAcentral.